This 499-nucleotide ribosomal RNA is filed under the name uncultured bacterium. RNAcentral describes it as "bacterial SSU rRNA". It matches the Rfam family "Bacterial small subunit ribosomal RNA", at positions 899 to 1397 of the family's 1533-position model. The record is from RNAcentral.
ACUCAAAGGAAUAGACGGGGACCCGCACAAGCAGCGGAGCAUGUGGUUUAAUUCGAAGCAACGCGAAGAACCUUACCAGGUCUUGACAUCCCGAUGACGUGGGUAGAGAUACUCAUUCCCUUCGGGGCAUUGGAGACAGGUGGUGCAUGGUUGUCGUCAGCUCGUGUCGUGAGAUGUUGGGUUAAGUCCCGCAACGAGCGCAACCCCUAUUUUUAGUUGCCAGCAUGAAAGGUGGGCACUCUAGAGAGACUGCCGGGGAUAACUCGGAGGAAGGUGGGGACGACGUCAAAUCAUCAUGCCCCUUAUGUCCUGGGCUACACACGUGCUACAAUGGCCGGAAACAGAGGGCAGCGAAGCCGCGAGGUGGAGCGAAUCUCAGAAAGCCGGUCCCAGUUCGGAUUGCGGGCUGCAACUCGCCCGCAUGAAGUCGGAGUUGCUAGUAAUCGCGAAUCAGCACGUCGCGGUGAAUGCGUUCCCGGGUCUUGUACACACCGCCCGU